GGGAACCAUAGCCCCCUAAAGGCUAAGUGACAUGACUCAUCCUUAAAUCAGUCUAGAAACAUGAAGCAUGCAGUAGGCUGCCUGUUCUUCUCCUCUCUCUGUUCUCUAUCCUCUUGGGAUAUCCAUGGCUUGGUGGUGACCCAGUCUCCUCAUGAAGUGACAGUCAUUGAAGGAAACACUGUUCACAUCCACUGCUGCUGGAAUCUGGACUCAGAGAGAACAACAGUUGUCUGGAAAAAGAACAAAACUACUAUUGAUUCUACAUCUUCCUCUAUAAAUGAAUCAAUGCAAUGUCAAGAACAAGCUCAGCACCAUGCAGCUUGUAAAUGCUCAAAUCUGACCCUCUCAAACAUCACUGUAAAUGACUCUGGUUUAUACAUCUGUCAAGUAAACAUAGAUAUACCAAAGCUUCUUCAAUCAGGAGGGAAUGGAACCAACAUAACAGUUACAACCAUCAAACAAGUUAACAUGACAAACGGAAAAGAAGAAGAAGAAAUCAACCAAUCACAUCUCCUGUUUACCAUCAUUUCUCUGGCUGUCCUGGCUGUCCUCUUCUUGGCUCUAUUCAGCUUUUUGAUUAGAAAACACGUCUUGGAUUCAGAGAAUACAGCCAGGGUGAUAUACGAGGCCCCGCACCCUGGGUCAGAGGAGUCUGAUGGCCAGAGCACCAAUUCCUCCAGGGGAUCUACCCAGUGGUGUCAAGUCCAGGUGUACGAAUCUUUCGAUUACUUUGCUGUCGAAGACAACAAAGGAAAAGGAUGAAAGGAUGUCUCAGCUCAUUUCAACCUUUUUUUAAUCUCCACUGUACUGUCUGCAUACUGUAUUUCUAUUAUUCAUUUCAUUUUAUUGCUGUAAUUAUUUGCUUAUUUUUUAUUGGCCUAAAAAUACAAACGUCUGAUGAAGACAACUUUGUUUCUUUCACAAAAGUUUUUUGUGUGAGAGGAUAUGAACCUGUGCCUAAACCGGAAUUGAGCAAUAGUUCACCAUUACACACUUGUGAUGCUCUAGAUAAGCUUCUCUGAGUUUGUGCCUUGCAUGUG
Osmerus eperlanus (European smelt) is the source of this 1040-nucleotide long non-coding RNA. RefSeq lists it as uncharacterized. Lineage: Eukaryota; Metazoa; Chordata; Actinopteri; Osmeriformes; Osmeridae. The transcript has 5 exons. The record is from RefSeq and is a predicted model, not a curated record.